UACGUAGGGGGCAAGCGUUGUCCGGAAUCAUUGGGCGUAAAGAGCGUGUAGGCGGCUCGGUAAGUCCGCUGUGAAAGUCCAGGGCUCAACCCUGGAAUGCCGGUGGAAACUGUCGAGCUAGAGUCCGGAAGAGGCGAGUGGAAUUCCUGGUGUAGCGGUGAAAUGCGUAGAUAUCGUGAGGAACACCAGAGGCGAAGGCGGAUACCUGGACAAUUACUGACGCUCAGACACGACAGCAUGGGGAGCGAACGGG
RNAcentral lists this ribosomal RNA (253 nucleotides) under uncultured bacterium. RNAcentral's name for it is "partial 16S ribosomal RNA". It matches the Rfam family "Bacterial small subunit ribosomal RNA", at positions 524 to 776 of the family's 1533-position model. The record is from RNAcentral.